RNAcentral lists this transfer RNA (49 nucleotides) under Lolium multiflorum (Italian ryegrass). RNAcentral's name for it is "partial tRNA-Leu". Lineage: Eukaryota; Viridiplantae; Streptophyta; Magnoliopsida; Poales; Poaceae. The record is from RNAcentral.
AAUCCGUCGACUUUAUAAGUUGUGAGGGUUCARGUCCCUCUAUCCCCAA